RNAcentral lists this ribosomal RNA (500 nucleotides) under uncultured bacterium. RNAcentral describes it as "bacterial SSU rRNA". It matches the Rfam family "Bacterial small subunit ribosomal RNA", at positions 30 to 523 of the family's 1533-position model. The record is from RNAcentral.
AUUGAACGCUGGCGGAAUGCUUUACACAUGCAAGUCGAGCGGCAGCGCGGGGCAACCUGGCGGCGAGCGGCGAACGGGUGAGUAAUACAUCGGAACGUGCCCAGACGUGGGGGGAUAACUACUCGAAAGAGUGGCUAAUACCGCAUACGAUCUAAGGAUGAAAGCGGGGGGAUCGCAAGACCUCGCGCGUUUGGAGCGGCCGAUGGCAGAUUAGGUAGUUGGUGGGGUAAAGGCUUACCAAGCCCGCGAUCUGUAGCUGGUCUGAGAGGAUGAUCAGCCACACUGGGACUGAGACACGGCCCAGACUCCUACGGGAGGCAGCAGUGGGGAAUUUUGGACAAUGGGCGAAAGCCUGAUCCAGCCAUUCCGCGUGCAGGAUGAAGGCCCUCGGGUUGUAAACUGCUUUGUACAGAACGAAAAAGACUCUUUCUAAUACAGAGAGUCCAUGACGGUACUGUAAGAAUAAGCACCGGCUAACUACGUGCCAGCAGCCGCGGUAA